Long non-coding RNA from Pseudoliparis swirei, 586 nucleotides. RefSeq lists it as uncharacterized. The record is from RefSeq and is a predicted model, not a curated record. The transcript has 3 exons. NCBI's taxonomy places the organism in Eukaryota, Metazoa, Chordata, Actinopteri, Perciformes, Liparidae.
UUUAAGUGUGAACAUAUUUUAUCCUGCUAAUUCAAACAUGUUCAAAAUCACAAUUCAUUUCACUCUGAAUAAUACCUUUUUAGGAGCAUUUUUACAAUGCAGAAGAUGGGAGUGGGUAUCUGGCUUGGAGAUUGAAGUUUGUCCAAAAGGAAGCUUCUGGUGGACAAAAGAAGGCCAUGAGACUCUUAAGAACACAAAUGGGGGGCCCAUCAGCUGAAAGAGACUUGAGGGAGGACAAUCCCCUAAUGACAGACAGCUUGUUUUCUGAGGCCAUUGCACUGAUGAAGCAUACAGCUGAUGAAGGGAUUGUUAUGACGAAGAUGAAGCAGACCUUCAACUAUCGCCAAAAGAUCAUUCAUGAUCCAGUGAAGUCCUCUGAUGUCUUUCUGGCCUUCCCAAGAUUCCUGGACAUACAAGGAUUAAUUGAGCAAGAUUUUAUUUUGAUGUUUGAUGAUUCCAUCUCUGCAAAGUUCCUGGAGAAGUGGCCCACAAUUUACAAGAAAAAAGUCCUUGAACAAAGCCGUGGUCUCACACAGUCGGAUGAUCUGCAGUACCUCGUCCAGAAUGCUGAAUCCACAACAGAAGU